AUUGAACGCUGGCGGCAGGCUUAACACAUGCAAGUCGAGCGGGGGAAGGUAGCUUGCUACCGGACCUAGCGGCGGACGGGUGAGUAAUGCUUAGGAAUCUGCCUAUUAGUGGGGGACAACAUCUCGAAAGGGAUGCUAAUACCGCAUACGUCCUACGGGAGAAAGCAGGGGAUCUUCGGACCUUGCGCUAAUAGAUGAGCCUAAGUCGGAUUAGCUAGUUGGUGGGGUAAAGGCCUACCAAGGCGACGAUCUGUAGCGGGUCUGAGAGGAUGAUCCGACACACUGGGACUGAGACACGGCCCAGACUCCUACGGGAGGCAGCAGUGGGGAAUAUUGGACAAUGGGGGGAACCCUGAUCCGGCCAUGCCGCGUGUGUGAAGAAGGCCUUAUGGUUGUAAAGCACUUUAAGCGAGGAGGAGGCUACUCUAGUUAAUACCUAGGGAUAGUGGACGUUACUCGCAGAAUAAGCACCGGCUAACUCAGUGCCAGCAGCCGCCGUAA
This 501-nucleotide ribosomal RNA is filed under the name uncultured bacterium. RNAcentral's name for it is "partial 16S ribosomal RNA". It matches the Rfam family "Bacterial small subunit ribosomal RNA", at positions 30 to 523 of the family's 1533-position model. The record is from RNAcentral.